Molecule: ribosomal RNA, 424 nt
Filed under: uncultured bacterium
Lineage: Bacteria
Description: bacterial SSU rRNA
Rfam family: Bacterial small subunit ribosomal RNA
Source: RNAcentral
UGAGGAAUAUUGGUCAAUGGGCGCGAGCCUGAACCAGCCAAGUCGCGUGCAGGAAGAAUGUCCUAUGGAUUGUAAACUGCUUUUGCAGGGGAAUAAAGUUCGGCACGUGUGCCGUUUUGUAUGUACUCUGCGAAUAAGGAUCGGCUAACUCCGUGCCAGCAGCCGCGGUAAUACGGAGGAUCCGAGCGUUAUCCGGAUUUAUUGGGUUUAAAGGGUGCGUAGGCGGGAUAAUAAGUCAGUGGUGAAAGUUUGCAGCUUAACUGUAAAAUUGCCGUUGAAACUGUUAUUCUUGAGAGUAGAUAAGGUAGGCGGAAUGUGUUGUGUAGCGGUGAAAUGCAUAGAUAUAACACAGAACCCCGAUUGCGAAGGCAGCUUACCGGGCUACAUCUGACGCUGAGGCACGAAAGCGUGGGGAUCAAACAGG